RNAcentral lists this ribosomal RNA (229 nucleotides) under uncultured bacterium. RNAcentral describes it as "partial 16S ribosomal RNA". It matches the Rfam family "Bacterial small subunit ribosomal RNA", at positions 568 to 796 of the family's 1533-position model. The record is from RNAcentral.
UGCGUAGGCGGUUUAAUAAGUCAGAGGUGAAAGCUCACAGCUUAACUGUGGAAUUGCCUUUGAUACUGUUGAACUUGAAUCAGGUUGAGGUUGGCGGAAUGUGACCUGUAGCGGUGAAAUGCAUAGAUAUGUCAUAGAACACCAAUUGCGAAGGCAGCUAGCUGGACCUGCAUUGACGCUGAGGCACGAAAGCGUGGGGAGCGAACAGGAUUAGAUACCCUGGUAGUCC